UUAAAUUGAAGAGUUUGAUCAUGGCUCAGAUUGAACGCUGGCGGCAGGCCUAACACAUGCAAGUCGAACAGUAACAGGAAGAA
This 83-nucleotide ribosomal RNA is filed under the name Escherichia coli O157:H7 str. K2854. RNAcentral's name for it is "partial 16S ribosomal RNA". It matches the Rfam family "Bacterial small subunit ribosomal RNA", at positions 1 to 81 of the family's 1533-position model. Lineage: Bacteria; Pseudomonadati; Pseudomonadota; Gammaproteobacteria; Enterobacterales; Enterobacteriaceae. The record is from RNAcentral.